UAAAGUGACAAAUGAGAUAGU
This 21-nucleotide non-coding RNA is filed under the name Arabidopsis thaliana (thale cress). The record is from RNAcentral. Lineage: Eukaryota; Viridiplantae; Streptophyta; Magnoliopsida; Brassicales; Brassicaceae.